RNAcentral lists this ribosomal RNA (2565 nucleotides) under Triticum aestivum (bread wheat). RNAcentral's name for it is "partial small subunit ribosomal RNA". Lineage: Eukaryota; Viridiplantae; Streptophyta; Magnoliopsida; Poales; Poaceae. The record is from RNAcentral.
AUGUCUUCGGCCACCCCCCCUCCGCCGGCGUCACCGAACCCGGAGGCGCCUCCGCGCGUCGUCCGCCCGCCGCCUAGGCGGUCACCGAGGUCGCCUGGGCCGCCGCUGUGGGCCAAGCGGCGGCCCUCCGUCUCCGUCGACUACGACCGCGGCCGCCGCACAGUCCGGGUCGAGGUGGACGGCGUAGGUGCCGACGCGCUCCCCGCGCGGCACCGCCUCCGCGUGGAGGGGAGCCGGUGGCAGCGGGACUGCAAGGUGUCCCAGGUCGCCGCGCGCGUGCUCGCGCUCCCGCGGGCCGACACCCAUGCCGUCGACGCCGUGCUCAACUGCUGGGCCGGGCGCUUCGCCUGCCGUAACUUCCCUCUCCUUAUUCGUGAAAUGGCCUUUUCUGGGUCCUUGCAACAUGCUGUAUAUGUGUUCUGCUGGAUGAAAAACCAGGAGAACUACUGUGCCCGUAAUGACAUUUAUGGUAUGAUGAUACGAUUACAUGCCAGACACAACCAGGUUGAUCAAGCACGUGGCCUGUUCUUUGAGAUGCAAGAAUGGCGGUGCAAGCCAGAUGCUGAUAUAUACAACUCUUUGAUCAAUGCUCAUGCUCGGGCUGGUCUAUGGCGCUGGGCCAUCAACAUUAUGGAUGAUAUGCUUCGUGCAGCUAUACCUCCUAGCCGAGCUACAUAUAAUAAUGUCAUAAAUGCAUGUGGUGCUGCUGGUAACUGGAAAAAGGCUUUAGAGCUUUGUAAGAAGAUGAUAAGAAAUGGUGUAGGGCCAGACUUGGUUACACACAACAUUGUAUUAUCUGCUUUCAAGAAUGGCUCUCAGUAUUCGGAAGCCAUAGGUUACUUUGAUAUGAUGAAAGGAGCAAAUAUUGCCCCUGAUACUUUCACUUUGAAUAUUGUCAUCCAUUGCCUUGUAAAAGCCGGACAGCACGGAGAUGCUGUCGAUUUGUUAAACUCGAUGAGGGAGAAAAGAGCACAGUGUCCUCCAGAUGUUGUUACGUACACUAGCAUAAUGCAUUCUUAUUAUGUUUGUGGGCAAGUGAAAAAUUGCAAGGCAGUCUUUGAUAUGAUGGUUGCUGAAGGAGUUAAACCUAAUAUUGUAUCAUAUAAUGCACUUUUGGGUGCUUAUGCCUCACAUGGGAUGCACACUGAGGCCUUGGGAUUUUUCAAGUUACUGAAACAAAAUGGUCUGCGACCUGAUGUAGUUUCCUAUACCACUUUACUGAAUGCCUAUGGUAGGUCAGCACAGCCUGAAAAAGCUAGGGAGGUUUUUAACGAGAUGAGAAAGAACUCAUGCAAGCCAAACAAAGUCAGUUAUAAUGCACUAAUUGAUGCUUAUGGAUCUGCUGGAAUGUUCAAGGAGGCCAUUAGCUUACUGCAUGAAAUGGAGAAGGAUGGCAUUCCACCAGACGUUGUUUCAAUAAGUACUCUGUUGACUGCCUGUGGCCGCUGCAGGCAGACAACAAAAAUUGACACAGUUCUUGAAGAAGCAAAAUUUCGAGGGAUUGAACUUAAUAUUGUUGCGUACAACUCGGGCAUUGGAACCUAUUUAAGUUUUGGAGAUUAUGAGAAAGCUUUGGAGUUCUAUGCCACAAUGAUGGCGAGCAAUGUGAAUCCAAAUGCUGUAACUUAUAAUAUACUCAUCAGUGGAUUGUGUAAAUUGGGAAAAUAUGCAGAAUCUCUGAAAUUUUUUGAAGACAUGGUGGACUUGCGAAUUCCUUUAACCAAGGAGGUUUACUCAUCCUUGAUUUGUUCAUAUGUCAAACAGGACAAACUAGCUGAAGCGGAAUCUACUUUUAGUUAUAUGAAAACAUCUGGCUGCUUCCCUGAUGUUCUAACAUAUACUGCUAUGAUUCAAGCCUAUAUUGAUCAUGGGAGUUGGACGAGUGUGUGGGACCUAUUCAAAGAGAUGGAAGGAAAUGCCAUACUGCCAGAUGCCAUUAUAUGCUCAUCCCUCAUGGAAGCAUUGAAUAAAGGAAAUCAACAUGAAAGGGUCCUUCAGUUGAUGAAAUUCAUGCACGAUCAAUCCAUCGAAUUGAACCAAAAAGCUUAUUUUGAAAUAAUAGCUUCAUGCAGCAUGCUACGGGACUGGAGAACUGCAAGUGAAAUAAUUGAACAUUUGGAUUCCUCUCUCCCAUCCAUUUCUGUUGGGAAGCUAAACCAUCUUCUGAAUUUUCUUGGAAAAUGUGGGAAGACAGAGAGUAUGAUGAAGCUGUUUUACAAGAUGGUGAGUGCAUGCUCUACUGUAGGCCUUUCUACUUAUAAGGUUCUGCUGAGAAAUCUCUUAGCAGUUGGAAAAUGGAGAAAGUAUGUCGAGGUUUUGCAGUGGAUGGAGGAUGCUGGAGUCCGUCCAACACUAUAUAUGUAUCAAAAUGUUCUUCCAUAUAUUUGGAGGGACAAUAGCAUGGAUUAUGUCACUCUUAUGCAGGAAAAAAUAAAGCCGGGAGAUGAGUACGUGACCGAGGAAUCUGUUGAGUACGCUAACGAGGAUCAAGCUUUCGACAACUCUGAGAACUUUGUAGGCAAGAUGACCAUACCCUCGAAAUCACUUAUAUCUUUGCUUUGCUAG